CCUGACGCAGCGACGCCGCGUGGAGGAUGACGCAUUUCGGUGUGUAAACUCCUUUUAUAAGGGAAGAUAAUGACGGUACCUUAUGAAUAAGCACCGGCUAACUCCGUGCCAGCAGCCGCGGUAAUACGGAGGGUGCAAGCGUUACUCGGAAUCACUGGGCGUAAAGGAUGCGUAGGCUGUAAUAUAAGUCAGAAGUGAAAUCCAACGGCUUAACCGUUGAACUGCUUUUGAAACUGUUUUACUAGAAUAUGGGAGAGGUAGAUGGAAUUGGUGGUGUAGGGGUAAAAUCCGUAGAUAUCACCAGGAAUACCGAUUGCGAAGGCGAUCUACUGGAACAUUAUUGACGCUGAGGCAUGAAAGCGUGGGGAGCAAACAGGAUUAGAGACCCCGGUAGUCUUAGCUGUAAACUAUGUGAACUUGGCGUCGGUGGGUUCAAAUCCAUCGGUGCCGAAGCUAACGCGAUAAGUUCACCGCCUGGGGACUACGGCCGCAAGGUUAAAACUCAAAGGAAUUGACGG
This 518-nucleotide ribosomal RNA is filed under the name uncultured bacterium. RNAcentral describes it as "bacterial SSU rRNA". It matches the Rfam family "Bacterial small subunit ribosomal RNA", at positions 382 to 916 of the family's 1533-position model. The record is from RNAcentral.